GACGAACGCUGGCGGCGUGCCUAAUACAUGCAAGUAGAACGCACAGUUUAUACCGUAGCUUGCUACACCAUAGACUGUGAGUUGCGAACGGGUGAGUAACGCGUAGGUAACCUGCCUGGUAGCGGGUGAUAACUAUUGGAAACGAUAGCUAAUACCGCAUAAUAUUAAUUAUUGCAUGAUAAUUAAUUGAAAGGUGCAAUUGCACCACUACCAGAUGGACCUGCGUUGUAUUAGCUAGUAGGUGAGGUAACGGCUCACCUAGGCGACGAUACAUAGCCGACCGCAGCGGGUGAGCGGCCGGGAUGGGAUGGGGAAGUGGCCCAGUCUCCGGCGGGAGGCAGCAGUAGGGAAUCUUCGGGAAGUGGCGAGAGGCAGACUGAGCAACGCAGCGUCAGGGAAGAAGGUUGGCGGAUGGUAAAGCACUGUUGUAGGAGAAGAAUGGGUGUGAGGGUGGAGGGGGCACACUGUGACGGUACCGUAGAAGAAAGGGACGGCUAACGAGGUG
This 505-nucleotide ribosomal RNA is filed under the name uncultured bacterium. RNAcentral's name for it is "partial 16S ribosomal RNA". It matches the Rfam family "Bacterial small subunit ribosomal RNA", at positions 28 to 507 of the family's 1533-position model. The record is from RNAcentral.